Long non-coding RNA from Dreissena polymorpha, 1211 nucleotides. RefSeq lists it as uncharacterized. The transcript has 2 exons. Lineage: Eukaryota; Metazoa; Mollusca; Bivalvia; Myida; Dreissenidae. The record is from RefSeq and is a predicted model, not a curated record.
UUUUAUUUAAAAGAAAGGACGAGGCUGACCAGUAACCUGGAAUGCUGGCUUGCUUCUUCAAGCUGAUGUAGAGACAUCUUAUAUACAGAACCUAAUUCACCAGACUUUAAUUCACCUGUCCGAGGACCACCCACUUCAUGGCAUUGCCCAGGCAUUAGAAUCUCUCUCCCAUGUUUUGUGAUUGGGAUCAUUUAUAUAAUUACAUUUAUAUCCAUUUAUUUCUUAUAUGAUUGAAAAUAAUACUGUCAUAAACCAUAUAUUUUACGUUUGAAGGCUUGUUUCUCAUAAACAAGGUUAACUUUUAUAUAUUAUUUGUGUUUGCCAUCAGAAUGAUAGGCAUACAUUGUCUGAUACGUUCAGAUAUUGUUGUUUUCGCUAGGUGUAUUUGUAUUAUGUUAUUUUAUGUCUUUCAUGAUUACUUUAGAAUAAGUGUACUUAUGAGUCUUAUUUCUGUCGGGCAUGUUUCUUUACUAUGUUCGGAGAAUGUGUCGUGAAGUGUUUGAACAUGUACUUUGUAUUGAACUUUGUAUAAAACCUUUUCCGUUGUAACUGAAAGGGAUUAUUGAUUACACCUGGUUCUUGCCAACUUCAGUGUAUCCGUUUGAAUCAGUGCAACCGAUAUAUGCCGCCUUCUUUAAAAUAGUGUAGAAGUACUCCAGCAAUGUCAACCAAACUUAUGGAGAUAAUAGUGUUACUUGGACCACAUUAACUUGGUAGGGGACCGUUGUUUUGUCUUUGGAAAAGAUCUUCAUAAUAAAGAAGCCUUAUAAUAUAACAUUAAAUUUAACAUUGCAUCGGCAAAGGCCUAACAAUCUUAUUCCAAAGCAUCAAUAUCAUGAAAAAGGAAGUAAUGCUAUUGCGUUCGGUUUAUUUUAUUACUGACUGCCAGAAGACUGCAUACUUCUGUUAUAAUAUCGUUUUUAUGUGAAUAUGCUGUAUUAUUUGAUAACAGUACUUUUAGCCAAAGUAUAUUUGUUUUGAUUGUUGUUAUGCUUCGUUGACUGUUUUCCUUCAUAACUGUGUUAUACAAUUUUGGUGAACGUGCAAUGCUAGUGUUGUGGAACGGAACAUGAUUAUCAGCUUUUCGCUUAUGUGUAUUCAUUUUUAUUAAAUGAAACUGUUUUAUUGAAAAUGUUAAAUGUAUUUAUUUAUGUAUUCAACCGUUUCAAAUAUAUUCCUUAUUAUGCAAUUUACAUAAAUGACAAAUUGAA